AGCUUCAGUAGCGUAUAUUAAAGUUGUUGCAGUUAAAAAGCUCGUAGUCGCAUUUCUGGCGAGAGGAUCCGGUCCGACCUUUUGGUGUGUUCUUGGGUCUCUUUCGCCAUCCUUGAGUGGUCCGUUCUGGCUUUAGGUUGUCGGAGCGUCAGCCGCUCAUCGUUUACUGUGAGAAAAUUAGAGUGUUCAAAGCAGGCUUAUGCCGUUGAAUAUAUUAGCAUGGAAUAAUAAGAUAGGACCUCGGUACUAUUUUGUUGGUUUGCGCACCAAGGUAAUGAUGAACAGGGACAGUUGGGGGUAUUUGUAUUUCGUUGUCAGAGGUGAAAUUCUUAGAUUUACGAAAGACAAACUACUGCGAAAGCAUUUACCAAGGAUGUUUUCA
Molecule: ribosomal RNA, 382 nt
Filed under: uncultured marine Chaetocerotaceae
Lineage: Eukaryota; Bacillariophyta; Thalassiosirophyceae; Chaetocerotales; Chaetocerotaceae
Description: SSU rRNA
Rfam family: Eukaryotic small subunit ribosomal RNA
Source: RNAcentral